GGACAAUGACGAUAUAAUGAAAGGUCUCGUUCGUCGUAAUGGCUUUUAAAAGAGCCUUGCCGACCAUCCUGUUAUAUCACCACCCAUAUUCUGAGUCU
This is a non-coding RNA of Thalictrum thalictroides, 98 nucleotides long. NCBI's taxonomy places the organism in Eukaryota, Viridiplantae, Streptophyta, Magnoliopsida, Ranunculales, Ranunculaceae. The record is from the annotation of a GenBank genome assembly.